CCACACGACUCUCGGCAACGGAUAUCUCGGCUCUCGCAUCGAUGAAGAACGUAGCGAAAUGCGAUACYUGGUGUGAAUUGCAGAAUCCCGCGAACCAUCGAGUCUUUGAACGCAAGUUGCGCCCGAGGCCACCAGGCUGAGGGCACGCCUGCCUGGGCGUCACGC
RNAcentral lists this ribosomal RNA (165 nucleotides) under Stipa dregeana. Its description in RNAcentral is "5.8S ribosomal RNA". It matches the Rfam family "5.8S ribosomal RNA". Rfam says of the family: 5.8S ribosomal RNA (5.8S rRNA) is a component of the large subunit of the eukaryotic ribosome. It is transcribed by RNA polymerase I as part of the 45S precursor that also contains 18S and 28S rRNA. Lineage: Eukaryota; Viridiplantae; Streptophyta; Magnoliopsida; Poales; Poaceae. The record is from RNAcentral.